Long non-coding RNA from Scylla paramamosain (green mud crab), 1720 nucleotides. RefSeq lists it as uncharacterized. The transcript has 5 exons. NCBI's taxonomy places the organism in Eukaryota, Metazoa, Arthropoda, Malacostraca, Decapoda, Portunidae. The record is from RefSeq and is a predicted model, not a curated record.
GAUUCUCUCUUAGUAUAGUACAUCAUGAGAGAAAUUGGUGCAUAUUAUUAGGAACGGAUUUUGUGGACUGGAGGUGGGUAUGUGCAAGGGCAGUGGGCGCUGCCAGUGGAAGGUGCGCAGGCGCUGGUCACUAAAAAGAGAUGGCGUCCGAAGGGUACUCGUGUGUUGCUGCCUCAUUUUAUCUGGAUUUACUCAGAACAAGACGGUGACACGGCCCAUGGCUACCUGUGUGUGCUGGUGCAGGCUUGGUGCCUGUCGGGAGGUGCCUGGUAGGGCCGGGAGCUGCACAUGAGGACCAGCGAGGCUCACAAUAUUGUGACAGGUGGCGCUGGGGAGUUACCACGGCGAGCGGCUGGCUGGCUGCAGUGUUUUGGUUAGCACUGGUCAAUCUUGCCCUACACGCUCUAUUAACCAGUGUUUCCGUCUUCCCGACACGUUCUUCCUGCACCAAGCACCGUCAAGCAUCACCAGAGAGGCACGAGUACGUAAGCUAUCCAACAUCAGAACAGUAUAUGAAUAUGGCAAAUGCUGUUUUGACAUCAUUUCCUGCCAUCCUGAGAAACAGUGAUCUCGAGGAGCACGAAUUGCAGCUGCAAUGGAAAUUGCGCAUCCAGCGCAAGUUUCAGAAUUCAAGAAAGAGGCAGGAUUCCUCAGUGACUGAGGUGAUGUCAAGGAAAAAGAAGAUCCCUUGCAUAGCGCCAAAAGAGACUACGUGUCCACUGAUGUAUGGAGUAAAGGCUUACCUUCCACCAAGGCCCCAUUCAGAAGAUGAUGAGUCAUUAGAGAGACAUAGACAGUGGCUUGCUCUACAUUGGAUGAAAAAAGAUCCCGAGUUAGAUAAGAUAAUCAAGGAGUUCCUGAGAUUAGAACCACAAGCAGUUUUGAAAGGGCUGGAGAAAUAUAGGCUCGCAAUAAUUGCCAUUCUCAAAAAAAGAAAAGCAGUUCCUCUGUAUAUGGAAACCUUACUUGAACUCUAUGACCACAAUGAAAGUCAAUGCGAAUGCUUGCUUAGUUAUAUUGGGGUUACUUCACCUGCUUGGAGAAAGGAAAGACUCCAUUUUUACUAAGGUUAAAUUUCAGUACCUUUGAUUUUAGAGUGGUGUGUAUAUAUUGAAAUUUCUGAAUAUUUUAUCACCUUAAGAUAUACAUCUACAUAUAAAUUUUAUUUUUUAUGUUAAAAUGUUAUUAAUGUUUACACUAUUAUUUCUUCCUUAAGGUACCAGAACAACAACUAAGAACAGGGCAGUCUAGUGUGUAUUUGAUGGUGCACCUGUAGCUGAACCAGCAUGUAUUUCUAUGGCUGUAGUCUCAUUGGUAGCAGGGCUUUGUGUUUAAUAUUGAACACCCAAAAAAUUGUGAACAUUUCCUCCAUUUCACAACAUCCCAUCUCUUAGGUAUCAAGUAUGACAAAGGUAACACUUCAAAAACAAGAUCUCUACUUGUAAAACUCAAUGAAGUAAAGACAGAAUUGAGCUACAAAAAUGCAUAAAUCUGCUUCCAAAUAUAUUCAACUCCACACAUAAUGCCUCUCUCUCUCUCUCUCUCUCUCUCUCUCUCUCUCUCUCCAAAUUGGGAAGUAUUCUUCAUGUACCAUAUGAUGCAUUUAUUUUUAUUUUUUAUAUGCAUUUUUUUACCCUUUUUUUUUUUUUUUUUUUAUUUCUCUAUGUUAUUGCAAGUGAUACGUGAAGCUUCUUUAUUACUGUUCUGAGCAUUUCUGUAG